GCUGUGAUGGUGUAGUGGUAUCACACCUGUGUUAUUAUACAAGGCGCACGUGGGUGUCCUUGAAAUCUUGAAGCACAGGAGGUCGCGGAUUCGAUUCCCGCUCACGGUU
Molecule: transfer RNA, 109 nt
Filed under: Aureobasidium pullulans
Lineage: Eukaryota; Fungi; Ascomycota; Dothideomycetes; Dothideales; Saccotheciaceae
Also listed under: 1 other name
Description: tRNA-Asn
Rfam family: tRNA
About the family: Transfer RNA (tRNA) molecules are approximately 80 nucleotides in length.
Source: RNAcentral